GGCCGUGUAGCUCAAUGGCAGAGCGUCUGACUACGACGUGAUCAUCAGGUCAUAUUCAGUAAUCAGAAGGUCGCAGGUUCGACCCCUGUCUCGGUCA
Molecule: transfer RNA, 97 nt
Organism: Pochonia chlamydosporia 170
Lineage: Eukaryota; Fungi; Ascomycota; Sordariomycetes; Hypocreales; Clavicipitaceae
Rfam family: tRNA
About the family: Transfer RNA (tRNA) molecules are approximately 80 nucleotides in length. Their secondary structure includes four short double-helical elements and three loops (D, anti-codon, and T loops).
Source: Rfam